UGGAAUCCUACAGUAUGUAUUUUGUUGGUGUUGGUCAUAUACAUAUGGAACUUUACCAAGGUAAAUAAGCCUUUAUAUUGCCGAAGUUGAAUAAGAAUAUCAAGCUGCUGUCCUGAAACUUCAUAAACUUACCCAUAUUGAGGUAAAAGAAACAAUCUGCCUGUGGUUGCAACAGAGAAAAACAAGAGUAAUAAGGAGAGGAUACAGAAACCAGCAACAAGGACCAGCUGAAAAUGAUCCAGGCCACUAAAAUUAUAUAUGAUACUAUAGUAAAUUGCUUAUUGUAUAAAUUAUAAUAUUAAUAAAUUUUUAGUAACUAA
Molecule: long non-coding RNA, 320 nt
Organism: Bacillus rossius redtenbacheri
Lineage: Eukaryota; Metazoa; Arthropoda; Insecta; Phasmatodea; Bacillidae
Exons: 3
Source: RefSeq, a predicted model, not a curated record